RNAcentral lists this ribosomal RNA (207 nucleotides) under uncultured bacterium. RNAcentral describes it as "partial 16S ribosomal RNA". It matches the Rfam family "Bacterial small subunit ribosomal RNA", at positions 568 to 774 of the family's 1533-position model. The record is from RNAcentral.
CUCGUAGGCGGUUCGUCGCGUCCGGUGUGAAAGUCCAUCGCUUAACGGUGGAUCCGCGCCGGGUACGGGCGGGCUUGAGUGCGGUAGGGGAGACUGGAAUUCCCGGUGUAAUGGUGGAAUGUGUAGAUAUCGGGAAGAACACCAAUGGCGAAGGCAGGUCUCUGGGCCGUCACUGACGCUGAGGAGCGAAAGCGUGGGGAGCGAACA